RNAcentral lists this ribosomal RNA (584 nucleotides) under Saccharomyces cerevisiae (brewer's yeast). RNAcentral's name for it is "partial large subunit ribosomal RNA". It matches the Rfam family "Eukaryotic large subunit ribosomal RNA", at positions 72 to 671 of the family's 3401-position model. Lineage: Eukaryota; Fungi; Ascomycota; Saccharomycetes; Saccharomycetales; Saccharomycetaceae. The record is from RNAcentral.
GGAUGCCUUAGAUACGGCGAGUGAAGCGGCAAAAGCUCAAAUUUGAAAUCUGGUACCUUCGGUGCCCGAGUUGUAAUUUGGAGAGGGCAACUUUGGGGCCGUUCCUUGUCUAUGUUCCUUGGAACAGGACGUCAUAGAGGGUGAGAAUCCCGUGUGGCGAGGAGUGCGGUUCUUUGUAAAGUGCCUUCGAAGAGUCGAGUUGUUUGGGAAUGCAGCUCUAAGUGGGUGGUAAAUUCCAUCUAAAGCUAAAUAUUGGCGAGAGACCGAUAGCGAACAAGUACAGUGAUGGAAAGAUGAAAAGAACUUUGAAAAGAGAGUGAAAAAGUACGUGAAAUUGUUGAAAGGGAAGGGCAUUUGAUCAGACAUGGUGUUUUGUGCCCUCUGCUCCUUGUGGGUAGGGGAAUCUCGCAUUUCACUGGGCCAGCAUCAGUUUUGGUGGCAGGAUAAAUCCAUAGGAAUGUAGCUUGCCUCGGUAAGUAUUAUAGCCUGUGGGAAUACUGCCAGCUGGGACUGAGGACUGCGACGUAAGUCAAGGAUGCUGGCAUAAUGGUUAUAUGCCGCCCGUCUUGAAACACGGACCAAUG